This is a long non-coding RNA of Sciurus carolinensis (gray squirrel), 2478 nucleotides long. RefSeq lists it as uncharacterized. The record is from RefSeq and is a predicted model, not a curated record. NCBI's taxonomy places the organism in Eukaryota, Metazoa, Chordata, Mammalia, Rodentia, Sciuridae. The transcript is spliced from 3 exons.
UUCGUCCCCGGACGUUGCUCUCUGCCCCGGGAACGUCGAGACUGGAGCGCCCGAACUGAGCCACCUUCGCGGACCCCGAGUGCGGCGGCCCGACUCACCGCGGAGGCGCCAGGACGCGUAAAGUGCGUACUUUCAACCGCGAAUGUGUGCUUAGGCUUUUAGGGGUGCGGGGAACGCCCCAACUCUGCGGAGCCCUGUUCGGUUCUGCAGCCACGCCCGAGACCUUCUGAUCCCUCGCUGCGCACGGCGCUGGGCCGGCGACUAGGGAUCAGAGGUGGCGGGGUGGGGGGGUGCUUUGACCUGGGGUCCUCCGAGGCCGUGGGCAAGUCCUGCUUCGCUUUAGCCCGCUGCAUCCCCCAGGGCGAGGCCUCGGCCCGGGUCAGCAGCAGUCUGUCUCCCGUCUGGGGAGUCAGGGAUUCUGAACGCCUGAGCACAGGGACUCGUCUGGGGCUCUGGGACUCUGGUCUCCCCGUCCCAUGAGCCGCUUUGCCCUGGGACAAGUCGCCCAACUUCUUGGGACAGGGACAGAGCUGUGUCCAGGGCCCAGGUAGGAGCUGGCUGGGCCCUAUAGGGCGGGGGAGGCUUGUCUUCCGCGGCUGAGGAACGUGUCCCGAGAAGUCGACCUCCGGGUAAGGAGUCCAGCAGGAGCGCAGGUGGACACUGGCCUUGGGCGGGGAUCCUCCUCUUUGGUUUCCCGGCCCUGGCAGGACCCUCUGUCCCACUAGACAUGCAUUUCCAGCAAGUCAAGACCCAAGUGUGCGUGGAGGUCGGAGGGGCGCGUGUGAAUGUGACCCCUAGCCUUUCAACUGCCCAGCGGAUCUCUGCUAUUCUGGGCAGGCAGGGGCGCACACCCCGGAACCUUACCACUGGCCUAGUCGGCCUCCCACGUUCCCCAGCACGUCCAUGCUGCCCUUCAGCAGGGGGCAGGGGUGCUUAGGGUGGAUUAGGGAAUUCUGCUCAGCCACACCUGACUGGAGGGGGUCCCACUUGCAUGUCUCCCUUCAGCAGGGCGCCUCUGUGUUGGUGGAUCAGCUCCUUUCCUGCCCCUUUCUUUGCGGGAGGGGAGAAGGAGCAAGUGAGAGGAGAUGCCUCCAACUGGGCCAGUUUCUGAGGGCUCUGGGGGCUUCGGGGGCCACCCCCUCCAGGGUGGGGGGAAGAGGAUAUUGGGGUCCCAACUUUUGUUGGACAAUUUCCAGCCCUGAUUCUUGACUCUGGGAGAUGCCAGUCUGAGGACAGUGGCCUGCCCCCACCCACAGGGAGUUGGGGCAGGAACAUGGGUCAGGUCCCUCUUCCACAAUUAGCCUCAGAAAAUGAAAGGGCCACUUUGGGCCCAGAGAGCCUUUCUGGGCUGCCUGGGAUGUGGGGGCUGUGUGUGCGUGUGUGUGCGCGCGUGGGCCCAGUGCAUGUGUGUGGGAGGCAGGGCCAGGGCAGGGCCAGCCCACCUGUAGCAGUGGAUCACACUCUUUUCAGACCUGGGGGUGCCCUGGGACCCUGCGUGUCCUUCUGUCUGGGGCUGCUGGUGUCUCCUGGUCUGACAGGCUGCAGCCCCAUCCCUGGGGGUUCUGGAGCACUGGACGGGGCGCCCAGACCCGCUGGCUCCACAGCCUCCUGGUCAGGUGAAGUUGAGACAGAGUCCAGGGCAGCACCCCAUCUUGCUGCAGCUCCGGUACUUCCCGUCGCUUCCCUGACUGUCCUGCCUUCUCCCUGCUGUCCAGAGUGAGAGUACUGGCCAAGGUCCAGUCAGGACCCAUGGGAGGCCAGGACCUCAGUGGGCCUGCAGGCUCCCUGUGGGGAGAGUGGAGCCGAGCUGAGGCUUCUCCUGCCACAGGACCUGGCCCGGGCUCCCCCUGCCCCCUCCUGCCUACCCUCUCCCAGCUCCAGCAGGGGGCGGACACGGGAAAGAAAAGCAGGGACUUGUUGAACUGGGUCCAUUUGGUGUCUGGGAGCAACUUGGAGAGAGGGAGGGGGCAGGGGGUAGGUGGCAGGGCCCUGGCACUGUGAGUCGGACUGGCCUUCGGAUGGCCUCCUGCUCCCCAGAGCACCAGCAUGGUAGCGUCCAUGAAGGGGACGACUGGGUGGACCCUGGCACUGGCCUCUCCCUCCCACUGCUUUUGUGUGGGGUGCAGCCCAUCUCCCCACUGCUCAGAGGACUGUCAGGAGACUCCCCGUCUGACUAGGGACAUCUAGUGGUCCUCUGCACCCCACUUCUGAGACUUCAGGGACAUGGCCUGGCCCACACACCUCAGAAGAGUUGGAUACCUACAUGUGUGUGCCCCGUGCCCAGCUCUGGGCCUCCACCUGGGCCCUCUUGCCCCAUGGUGAGCCGAGCCCCUGGCCACGCCCUGGCACCUGGCAGGACACCCUUCUGCUGCUUGUUCUCCGUGGCCGUGGCCUUGGUGGGUGUGGCUCAACGCAGGUAUCUAUGUCUGCCUCCUGCUCCAGACGUGCUGCUCCCAGGCUGCCACCAGGACCCCCCAG